RNAcentral lists this ribosomal RNA (206 nucleotides) under uncultured bacterium. Its description in RNAcentral is "partial 16S ribosomal RNA". It matches the Rfam family "Bacterial small subunit ribosomal RNA", at positions 568 to 774 of the family's 1533-position model. The record is from RNAcentral.
CGCGCAGGCGGUUUCUUAAGUCUGAUGUGAAAGCCUUCGGCUCAACCGAAGAAGUGCAUCGGAAACUGGGAAACUUGAGUGCAGAAGAGGACAGUGGAACUCCAUGUGUAGCGGUGAAAUGCGUAGAUAUAUGGAAGAACACCAGUGGCGAAGGCGGCUGUCUGGUCUGUAACUGACGCUGAGGCUCAAAGCAUGGGUAGCAAACA